RNAcentral lists this long non-coding RNA (454 nucleotides) under Equus asinus (donkey). RNAcentral's name for it is "lncRNA (ENSEASG00005029667.1)". Lineage: Eukaryota; Metazoa; Chordata; Mammalia; Perissodactyla; Equidae. The record is from RNAcentral.
GAUCAGCAAAGUCUCUUCUAAGUGAUCAACGUGAUCAACGAAGACAAAUGUUCCAGAAAUACCUAGAGGAAAAGCGACUGAAAAAAUUGAGAAACCUCAUCGACGACCAUUUAUAGUGGGUGUUUAUAGACCUGAUAAGCCUAUUUUUCUUUCAUGAAUACCAGCACACCAACCAAAAAAGCUCAUUUGGGCCAUCUGGAUAACAAGCAGUUGGGAAUAAAAAUUUGAAAAUCAGGACGGAGAUCCAUGCUGAGUGGUGGAUUUAGGAUAUGAUAUUGGGAGUAUGGAUGGGGGUUUAAGCUGUAGGGCUAAAUGAGACCACUCCAGUAAAGAUAUAUACAUUGUGAAAGAGUGAGGUCUAGAGAGCACCUUCAAGUGGGCAGAAGUCAGGUACCAGUGAUAGGUCAGAUUGGCAGGAGAGCUAAAACAGGACAGAAGCUGGAGGAGGGGGGUG